RNAcentral lists this ribosomal RNA (499 nucleotides) under uncultured bacterium. Its description in RNAcentral is "bacterial SSU rRNA". It matches the Rfam family "Bacterial small subunit ribosomal RNA", at positions 21 to 507 of the family's 1533-position model. The record is from RNAcentral.
GGCUCAGGAUGAACGCUAGCUACAGGCUUAACACAUGCAAGUCGAGGGGAAACGACAUCGAAAGCUUGCUUUUGAUGGGCGUCGACCGGCGCACGGGUGAGUAACGCGUAUCCAACCUGCCCACCACUUGGGGAUAACCUUGCGAAAGUAAGACUAAUACCCAAUGAUAUCUCUAGAAGACAUCUGAAAGAGAUUAAAGAUUUAUCGGUGAUGGAUGGGGAUGCGUCUGAUUAGCUUGUUGGCGGGGUAACGGCCCACCAAGGCGACGAUCAGUAGGGGUUCUGAGAGGAAGGUCCCCCACAUUGGAACUGAGACACGGUCCAAACUCCUACGGGAGGCAGCAGUGAGGAAUAUUGGUCAAUGGGCGAGAGCCUGAACCAGCCAAGUAGCGUGCAGGAUGACGGCCCUAUGGGUUGUAAACUGCUUUUAUAAGGGAAUAAAGUUAGUCUCGUGAGACUUUUUGCAUGUACCUUAUGAAUAAGGACCGGCUAAUUCCGUG